This 253-nucleotide non-coding RNA is filed under the name uncultured prokaryote. RNAcentral's name for it is "partial 16S ribosomal RNA". It matches the Rfam family "Bacterial small subunit ribosomal RNA", at positions 524 to 776 of the family's 1533-position model. RNAcentral also lists the same sequence under 1 other name. The record is from RNAcentral.
UACGUAGGGGGCAAGCGUUAUCCGGAUUUACUGGGUGUAAAGGGAGCGUAGACGGUGAAGCAAGUCUGAAGUGAAAUACCCGGGCUCAACCUGGGAACUGCUUUGGAAACUGUUUUACUAGAGUGCUGGAGAGGCAAGCGGAAUUCCUAGUGUAGCGGUGAAAUGCGUAGAUAUUAGGAGGAACACCAGUGGCGAAGGCGGCUUGCUGGACAGUAACUGACGUUGAGGCUCGAAAGCGUGGGGAGCAAACAGG